Molecule: ribosomal RNA, 253 nt
Filed under: uncultured bacterium
Lineage: Bacteria
Description: partial 16S ribosomal RNA
Rfam family: Bacterial small subunit ribosomal RNA
Source: RNAcentral
UACAGAGGUGGCAAGCGUUGUUCGGAAUUACUGGGCGUAAAGGGCGCGUAGGCGGCCAUCUAAGUCAGACGUGAAAUCCCCCGGCUUAACCUGGGAACUGCGUCUGAUACUGGAAGGCUUGAGUAUGGGAGAGGGAUGUAGAAUUCCAGGUGUAGCGGUGAAAUGCGUAGAUAUCUGGAGGAAUACCGGUGGCGAAGGCGGCAUCCUGGACCAUUACUGACGCUGAGGCGCGAAAGCGUGGGGAGCGAUCCGG